UACGUAGGGUGCGAGCGUUUGUCCGGAAUUACUGGGCGUAAAGAGCUCGUAGGUGGUUUGUCGCGUUGUCCGUGAAAACUCACAACUCAAUUGUGGGCGUGCGGGCGAUACGGGCAGACUGGAGUACUGCAGGGGGAGACUGGAAUUCCUGGUGUAGCGGUGGAAUGCGCAGAUAUCAGGAGGAACACCGGAGUGGAAGGCGGGAUCUCUGGGCCGUGACUGACUCGUGAGGCACGAAAGCGUGGGGGAGCGAAACAGG
Molecule: ribosomal RNA, 259 nt
Filed under: uncultured bacterium
Lineage: Bacteria
Description: partial 16S ribosomal RNA
Rfam family: Bacterial small subunit ribosomal RNA
Source: RNAcentral